Molecule: ribosomal RNA, 266 nt
Filed under: uncultured Lactobacillus sp.
Lineage: Bacteria; Bacillati; Bacillota; Bacilli; Lactobacillales; Lactobacillaceae
Description: partial 16S ribosomal RNA
Rfam family: Bacterial small subunit ribosomal RNA
Source: RNAcentral
AUUUACAUUUGAGUGAGUGGCGAACUGGUGAGUAACACGUGGGAAACCUGCCCAGAAAGGGGGAUAACACCUGGAAACAGAUGCUAAUACCGCAUAACAACUCGGACCGCAUGGUCCGAGCUUGAAAGAUGGCUUCGGCUAUCACUUUUGGAUGGUCCCGCGGCGUAUUAGCUAGAUGGUGGGGCAACGGCUCACCAAGGCAGUGAUACGUAGCCGACCUGAGAGGGUAAUCGGCCACAUUGGGACUGAGACACGGCCCAGACUCC